UCAUAAAAGUAGAAAUAUUUCUUGUUACUAUCAAUCUUUAUACCAUCUGCAAAACAAUCUUAAAUUUUACCUAUAAAACAAGGAUCAUAUCAGUAUCUAUCUCCAAGGUUAUUGUGAGAAUUCAGUAAGAAUUUAGAAUGCAGACAAGCUUCUAAAAACAUUUUGGCUAUUGCUAAUACUUCAUGAAGGAGCUAUAUGGCCCUCAUUCUAUAGAUGCUCUCUACCUGUUCUCUAAGGAAGACUUGGUCCUGGAUCUGAGGUGGAGCAUACUGAUGACACUCCAGAGAUUUCAAGAACAUGGAAACAACCUAGAUGCCCUUUAACUGAAGAAUGGAUAAACAAAAUGUGGUACAUAUACACAAUGGAAUACUACUCAGCUGAGAAAAACAAUGACAUCAUGAGGUUUGCAGACAAAUGGAUGGAUCUAGAAAAAAUCAUCCUGAGUGAGGUAACCCAGACUCAGAAAGACAAACAUGAGACCUGAUGGUGCCCACAGAGAUCUUGAUGGACAUCAGAGGAAGUGCCUCUCUCCUGGUCUACCUUUCAGAACUGAUUCUGGCUUCACCAUAUUUGCUUUAAAAAGAACAAACACAAUGCACUAAUUGCUUAGUUAACAACAACAGACUGGCUUAGACUGUCAGCUUGGGCGAGAAUUUGACCAACUUCAGCCAUAUGUACUGUUCUCUCCACACAGCCCCUUCUUCCUCUGGCCCUAAAUGGUCUCUAGCAGAAAACUGGCCUGGAACCUGUGUUGAGAGACACAGUUGGGUACUUGUGGGCCAUGCCUCUUUGUAACUUCCAGCUGCCAAAACAGUUGAUGGCUGCCAGAAAUAUUUAUC
Molecule: long non-coding RNA, 839 nt
Organism: Peromyscus eremicus (cactus mouse)
Lineage: Eukaryota; Metazoa; Chordata; Mammalia; Rodentia; Cricetidae
Exons: 4
Source: RefSeq, a predicted model, not a curated record